UACUAUUUUCCUGAAACCUAAUGGAUGAAACGUUUUGUUUAUUGAGAAGGCAUCUCAUUCAUUUUCAUCACUCCACUAAAGGUUCAUUUUCAAGAAUUUCGAAAGGGUCAUUGAGAAAUCGAGAAUCUUUGCAUUGCUUUAAUUCAUUACCUCUAUUCACUGUGAAUGAUUUAACCCGGUUAGUUCAAGAUUCAAUUUUGUUUAUUUUUCUUAUCAAUUUGAAUAACUGUCUAGUGUAUAAUCCGAGUAAAAAUCUAAUCUAGUCUUCUGAUGCUAUUCAACAAAUUUUAAUCCUUAUUAUUAUUAUUAUUAUUAUUAUUAUUAUUAUUAUUAUUAUUAUUAUUAUUAGGUGCAUUUAUAAUAAAUUUUAAUCAUAUAAUCAAUAAUAAUUUAGGAAUGAAUUAUAGCCCUUGUUUGAUUACCUUUAAAAUUUUAAUACAUUUUUCUAUCUUUUACUUUCAACAACACAUUUUUCAAUAAAAUAAUAUUAUACGUAAAUUAAAAAAAUUUCAUUCUUUUUUAGCCAUACAAUCUUCUAAAAACUACUAUUUCAAACAACAUUUUACCCAAAUUUCUCAUUAUAAUGGUUGUCAAACAAAGGAAUAAUAAAAGCACUCAAUAAAUUUAAGUAGUAAUGAAAUAAAUAAUUUUAAUUAUUUUUGAGAUUAAUAGAUUGUCAAGAAUUAAAAGAAAAAAAUGGAAAAAAAAAUGAUGAAAUAGUGUUCAUUUACUGCAAGUUUUGAUGUUUGGAUUGAAAAUAAUUUUCAGGUUACGCAAUAUUUAUAUCAAAAUGGACCCCAAAUUUCGGUGCAAUGAUUGAAGAUGGGCACAACAUAUUCCACUACUCGAUUUUUUUCUCAAUAUUACCGUAAGCCACUCUGACACUGUAGUAGUAUGUACAUUUCUGGGCCUAAUUUUAAGCAAAAUUUUGCACUUGACUGACAAGAAAGGUUAGCCCCACGUGUCCCUAAUGUUUCAUUCCUCUGAACCUAUCUUCACGUUUGUUGAGUCAUAAAAGUCAAAUCUGGUGUGUGAACAAAAAGCUUCAUACAGAAGUAUGUCAGAACACACAUAUAAGGGCGUGGGUGAGAAUAUUUUGGCAAUUUUUUAUUUAUGAUAAAUUCCACACAUGAGAGUAAUCUGACCAAAUUCUGUUGAAUUUUUUUUUGUACAAUUGGCUUAAUACCAGAACCGUUCUCAAAUCAACAACUGCAUCAACGCGUGAGUACAAGCUCCAUAAACAACAAAAAUCUCAUGAACCCACCAUACAUUUUUACUUAGAGGGUGUUUAAACCACAUUAUUUUGGUAAUGGAAAAUUCUAUUUGUACAUAAUUAUUGUAUAUAAUGUUGUCCAUAAUGUGAUGUGACAAUAGUUCGAUUGUUGAUGUGCAAGUGUGAGAUUUAAAUUAAAAGUUUGAUCCAGUGCCACGUGUAAUUAUGGACACUAUUAUAUAAAAAUUAUGUAUGUAUAACACUUUUUAUUUGUAAUAAUGCAUUCUUAAAUAGUGUAUUGAUGGGAAAUAUAUAGUUAAAAAAUAAAGAAAUUUUUUUGAUCUGUAUGUAAUAUUAUUUUAUUAAAAAAUAUGUAAUUAAAAUAAUAUUAAAUCACUGUUUAAGGAUAUAUUUUUUUUAAAUAAUGUGGCUGCCCUUAUAAUUAUCUCCUGUCCAAAUAUAAUAAUAAUUAUUUUUGUACUAUUUUCCUGAAACCUAAUGGAUGAAACGUUUUGUUUAUUGAGAAGGCAUCUCAUUCAUUUUCAUCACUCCACUAAAGGUUCAUUUUCAAGAAUUUCGAAAGGGUCAUUGAGAAAUCGAGAAUCUUUGCAUUGCUUUAAUUCAUUACCUCUAUUCACUGUGAAUGAUUUAACCCGGUUAGUUCAAGAUUCAAUUUUGUUUAUUUUUCUUAUCAAUUUGAAUAACUGUCUAGUGUAUAAUCCGAGUAAAAAUCUAAUCUAGUCUUCUGAUGUGAAGUGAAUUUCAAGAAAAAUCUGUGUAAUUUCU
This 1999-nucleotide long non-coding RNA is filed under the name Olea europaea (common olive). RNAcentral describes it as "long non-coding RNA (OEUR_LNC013605)". Lineage: Eukaryota; Viridiplantae; Streptophyta; Magnoliopsida; Lamiales; Oleaceae. The record is from RNAcentral.